Molecule: ribosomal RNA, 396 nt
Filed under: uncultured bacterium
Lineage: Bacteria
Description: partial 16S ribosomal RNA
Rfam family: Bacterial small subunit ribosomal RNA
Source: RNAcentral
CCUACGGGAGACAGCAGUGAGGAAUAUUGGUCAAUGGGCGGGAGCCUGAACCAGCCAAGUCGCGUGAGGGAAGACGGUCCUACGGAUUGUAAACCUCUUUUGCCGGGGAGCAACGGGGUCCUUGCGAGGGCCCGAUGAGAGUACCCGGAGAAAAAGCAUCGGCAAACGCCGUGCCAGCAGCCGCGGUAAUACGGAGGAUGCGAGCGUGUUCCGGAUUUAUUGGGGUAAAGGGGUGCGUAGGCGGGCUGUUAAGUCAGCGGUCAAAUGUCGGGGCUCAACCCCGGCCUGCCGUUGAAACUGGCGGCCUGGAGUGGAGGAGAGGUAUGCGGAAUGCGUGGUGUAGCGGUGAAAUGCAUAGAUAUCACGAAGAACUCCGAUUGCGAAGGCAGCAUACCG